This 694-nucleotide long non-coding RNA is filed under the name Malus domestica (apple). Its description in RNAcentral is "long non-coding RNA (MDOM_LNC006009)". Lineage: Eukaryota; Viridiplantae; Streptophyta; Magnoliopsida; Rosales; Rosaceae. The record is from RNAcentral.
GAAUGCACAUUGCUCCACUAACUUAAAUGAAUCACACACAAAAGAAUUCCUUCUCAAGUAAUUCCAUUUGUAAUGUGUGACUUGCUUUAUCAAGUUUAUUCAUUUAAAUUAUAUGGUGUCAUACAUCAUACUUUAAGUUUUAGUCAUACUAAGACCUUUAAAUGUAGUCAUAUAAGAAUUAUCCAAGUCUUUAGUGGAAGCAUUGCUCCUACUAAGGAUAUAGAAAACUCAACCAUUCCUUCUAGGUGGUUGAUAUAAUUCUUUAUUAAAACUACAUAGAGCAAUAUUGUUACAUGAGAUGUUGAAUUUGGUUUGUCUUGUUGUUAAACCAUAUUGUUGUGACUCAUUUUGAAACUUAUUCCCCUUUUUUUGUUUCAUCAACUUGUCCAUAUGCUUGGUUAUUUAGCUUGUUCUCAUAAAAGAGAAUUAUGGACAACUCCCAACAUAUAACCAUUUUAUGCUAGAUUGACGAAACCAACAUUCAAAGACUAUUCUUUAGAAUGUCACACAACAUAGAAUUUUAACUUUUGAAGAGCUUGAGUCUUUUAACAAUUAAAAUUGCAAACUCUUAAUAAUAGUCAAAUACUAUUAUUCUUUAGACAACUAUAAACCAAUCAUAUUUAAGUUUAUAUCCAUUUUCACACCUCCCACUAUUUCUCAUGACUUUAAUGAGAAAUCAUUUCAUACAUUCAAA